Molecule: long non-coding RNA, 1453 nt
Filed under: Homo sapiens (human)
Lineage: Eukaryota; Metazoa; Chordata; Mammalia; Primates; Hominidae
Description: long non-coding RNA NONHSAT193427.1
Source: RNAcentral
AUAUAUUCCCCCUUAAAUGUAUACAAAGAAAAAAAGCACUGUAAAAUACUAUAAAAUGUUAUCGUGACACAUAAACUUUCAGAAUCAUUCAAUAAUAAGCAACAAUAAAAUAAAAUAAACCUUUAAAACUUAAUCAGCCAAUCUUGAGGGUCCUCUCUUUGGCUCUUCUCAUUUGCUUGCUCUGAUAAAUCAAGUUGAUAUGAUAUGAGUUGCUUCAUGGAGAGGGCAGAAGGUAUAGGACUGAAUCCUGCCAUAAAAUUAUGUAAAGGAGCUUGGAUACAGACCCUUCCCUACUGGAGCCUUGAGAUGAGACCAUAGCUCCAGCCAACUCCAUGACUGCAGCCCUCUGACAGAUCCUAAGUCAAAAGAUCCUGCUGAACCACAUCCAUACACUUGACCUACACAAGCCAUGAGAUAGUAAAUGUUGUGGGUUCAAGUCACCACAUUUUGGGAUGAUUUGUUAUGCAGCGAUAGAUAUCUAAUACAAUCUCUAUCUUUAUAUUAUUCAGGAAGUCAUUAAAGAAGCAACCCAUGGCAAAACUAGUUAUUUUCUUAAAACAGUAGGAAGAAGAAAAGCUUUUUGAAUGAAUCACUUCUCAUCUUCUCCGAAGUUGGAAGCAUCAAGAAUCUAAAUAAGCAUUUAUGAUGGCUGGCAUGAAUAUGUGAGUAAAUACCUGAAAAACUGGCCAGAAGUGUUUUUUUUUUUUAAUGAGAUUAAUCUCGCUUUGAUGGAAUUUCAUUCAGAUUAUCAAAAGAAAAUGAAAUAUUUUUAGCAAAGUAGAUGACUGGGAAGAAUUAGGAGAGUAAAUGGGGAAAGUGCUCUGUAUUAGCAGAUCUGCCUGGGACAGGCCUCCUAAGCAGGGUUUCCUCUUCAGCUUCCAUCCUUUUUUUUGGUUUGGUUUGGUUUGAUUUAGUUUUUAUUUUGCUUUUUGCUCUUUACUUCUGAAAACACAUUAUUUUUCAAGAGGAUAUAUUAGAUUUCUUUCUUUCUUUCUUUCUUUCUUUCUUUUGAGACGGGACUGUAGGCACAUGCCACCACGCACGUCCGGCUAAUUUUUUGUAUUUUUAGUAGAGACGGGUUUCGCCGUGUUAGCCAGGAUGGUCUCGGUCUCCUGACCUCGUGAUCUAACUGCUCCGGCCUCCCAAAGUCCUGGGAUUACAGGCAUGAGCUGCCGCGCCCGGCCCAUCAGUUUUCUUUGUAUAGCUCUGAACACUAUAACAACCAGGAGUCCCUCUGAUUGAAGAUGUGAGUGUGCUUGCGUGUUAGCUUAGUGGUGUCUGUAUUGGGGUGUUGGUAUGGGAAGUUCCUAAAGCAAGCAUGAUAGCUACAAUGUAAAAGGCACACUGUUGUUAUAUAUUUUCUCAGUGAGGUGAAAAUGUGCAUUCUUCUAUUUCCUUUCCCAUGUAACAUUAUGUGCCACUGAAAUACCCAUUAACAGUUGCUAUAGGUUUA